CGGGGGGAUGCGCGCUGGGGCUGUGGGGCGGGGCGGGCGGCGGCCGCGGGAGCGGCGCCGGGGGCGGGCGGCGGCAUGAGGCGCGGGGCCGGCGGCCGCGGGAGGGCGGCGCGGCUCGCGGCCCGGUCGCUCCCGCCGCAGCUGCUGGCCCGCACGCUGUGCCCUGACAGCUGGGCCUCGGCCGCUCUCGUCUCAGCCGCGUCCCGCGCCGCCGCAGGUGACCACUCGCCGCGCCGCCGGAGGCUUCACCCGCGUCCUCCCUCAGGACGCGCCCGCGGAGCUCGGGCGCCUUCGCCCCGGACCCGGAGGCCGCGCUGCGCGGGGCGGCGGCGAGGCCGGAAGAUGGCCUGGGUGCUCAGUAUGGACGAGGUGAUCGAGUCCGGGCUGGUGCACGACUUCGACUCCAGCCUGUCCGGCAUCGGGCAGGAGCUGGGCGCCGGCGCCUACAGCAUGAGUGAUGUGUUGGCAUUGCCCAUUUUCAAGCAAGAAGAUUCCAGUCUUUCCUUGGAAGAUGAGGCCAAGCACCCCCCCUUCCAAUAUGUAAUGUGUGCUGCAACUUCGCCAGCCGUUAAGCUGCACGACGAGACACUUACUUACUUGAACCAAGGCCAGUCUUAUGAAAUUCGGAUGCUGGAUAAUCGCAAAAUGGGAGACAUGCCUGAGCUCAGUGGGAAGUUGGUAAAGAGCAUCAUAAGGGUGGUGUUCCAUGACAGGCGGCUACAGUACACAGAACAUCAGCAGCUUGAAGGCUGGAAGUGGAAUCGUCCAGGAGACAGGCUUCUCGAUUUAGAUAUUCCAAUGUCUGUGGGAAUAAUUGACACAAGGACAAAUCCAAGCCAGUUAAAUGCAGUUGAAUUUCUGUGGGACCCUGCAAAGCGCACAUCUGCCUUCAUUCAGGUACAUUGUAUCAGCACAGAAUUCACCCCGCGUAAGCAUGGAGGUGAAAAAGGAGUGCCUUUCAGGAUCCAGGUUGACACCUUUAAGCAGAAUGAAAACGGGGAAUACACAGAUCAUCUUCACUCAGCCAGCUGCCAAAUCAAAGUCUUUAAGCCUAAAGGUGCAGACAGAAAACAAAAAAAUGACCGAGAAAAGAUGGAGAAGAGAACAGCUCAUGAAAAAGAAAAGUACCAGCCAUCUUACGACACCACCAUUCUCACAGAGAUGAGGCUUGAGCCUAUAAUUGAAGAUGCAGUUGAACAUGAGCAGAAAAAGUCCAGCAAGCGGACUUUGCCAGCAGACUACGGUGAUUCUCUGGCAAAGCGAGGCAGUUGUUCUCCAUGGCCCGACACCCCUACAGCCUAUGUGAACAACAGCCCUUCCCCAGCGCCCACUUUCACCUCCUCACAACCGAGCACGUGCAGUGUCCCAGACAGCAAUUCUUCAUCCCCAAAUCACCAGGGAGAUGGAGCUGCACAAGCGUCUGGGGAACAAAUUCAGCCUUCAGCUACAACCCAGGAAACACAGCAGUGGCUGCUCAAAAACAGGUUCUCUUCCUACACAAGACUGUUCUCUAAUUUUUCAGGUGCCGACUUAUUAAAGCUGACAAAGGAGGAUUUAGUUCAGAUUUGUGGUGCAGCCGAUGGAAUUCGGCUCUAUAAUUCCCUGAAGUCAAGGUCGGUUAGGCCCCGCUUAACCAUCUAUGUCUGCCAGGAGCAGCCGAGUAGCACCGCGCUGCAAGGGCAGCCACAAGCUGCAGGCAGUGGAGGUGAAAGUGGCGGUGGGACGCCCUCCGUUUAUCAUGCAAUCUACUUGGAAGAAAUGGUUGCCUCAGAAGUUGCUCGAAAACUUGCCUCCGUGUUUAAUAUUCCUUUCCACCAAAUUAACCAGGUUUACAGACAGGGCCCCACUGGUAUCCACAUUCUUGUUAGUGACCAGUAAAAGGUACUUUUCAUGUAUGUGCCUUGGUGUGUUGUGAUCAUGAAGGACACUGUGCCCCGAUUAGAAGCUCUCAUCUGAAAAUAAUGAUGGUAUUCACAUAAUUUUGAAGUGAUACCUUAAACGGACUGAACUCUAUCCAGUACCAAAUAAAGUCAUGCUUAAAAGUGUGUGAAGACUGAAUCCAAGAAGUCUUGGGAUUGGAUUUUACUGUGAAAUGUUUCAUAUUGAAAACACAAGAUGACCUUCCUAAGGAGCUGCAGGAGAGGCAAAUCUCCUCAGUGUCACUGCCACAGCCCCAGCAUCCUCGUGAGAGAGAGAGAGAGAGAGAGAGAGCCUGUGCGAGCGAGCGAGCAUGUCAGGUGACAUUCGACCCAGCUUCUACCGUGGUGGGCACAAGUACUUGCUUCCCUGGCAAGGGCCAGUGGACAGAACCCCCCAGAGCAGUUGCUGCUGCUUUUCACACUGUAUGCAGUUUGAAUUGAAUGUAAAACUCAACCGUGGGCAUUUACCUUUCUGUGCCAGUUUGGCUUUUGUUGCCUGAACCUUAUGCUGGCCUGGGGAGGAGAUAGAGUUGCCUCUGGGGGAGCUGCUCUGUACUGGGUGACACGGCCGUAUGGGUCAGGUAAGAGGCUUAGCUCCUUCCUGAAGGUGGACAUCAGAGGGGUCCUGCUAGACCCGAGCCGAGCCGAGCCGAGCCGAGCAGAUGAGCAGACUGCACUCCCUGUCAGCCAUUCCGUGUGCGAGGUCAGUGUAAGUCCUAAUAGGUACCGAGGCUUGGGCGUUUGGCUUGGGCUUCCAGUUUUAGCAUUUUAGUUUCUGGAUUUCACCUUUGAAACCUCCUUGCCUUUUAAACUCAUGUGGUUUCCUUUUCUCGUCUCCCCACCCCCUACUUGAGCCUCCAGGUGUGUAUACUCCCUUGUCUUGUGCCUACUCUGUUCUUAAACAUGUCUAAAGCCCUUCCCAGACCUCAGAACUAGAUGAUGGGGAAACAGUAUCAUGUCUCUGAUAUUAAAGGGAUUUUUUUUUUAAUGAGACAAAAUUACCCUGGAAACACUAGAUGUCAUAACAAGACACUAAAAUGUAUCAUAAACCUUCCCCCCGCCCAAAUACCGAGUUUCAGUACAAUCAUGGCUAGAUGGUGGCUGGUGGGGGCUCUGUACUCUGCAUCGUUCAUGCUUUGUCUGUAGCAGGUGUGCCUGUGAGUCACGCGUGCACACGGCCAUCACCUCUCCUCUCUCUCACGACCUCUCGUGAGGCCUGUGGCAUAUCCGAGUUUUUAAAAACUUCUUUCCAUUUUAAUUCUGUAGCAUCUUUGCCCAUUUGCUUAGCUGCUGGCUGUGAAUGCGCUUGUCUGACCCUUGUUGUUCAGGUGGGUAGGAAUAAUUACAUUUUAAAUGAAAUCUCUUCCAGAAGACAGACUACUUCAAUGGGUAAAGGCUUUAACAGCUUGUUUUAUUCAUACUGGGGAUUAAUUACUUGCCACAAAACAAACUGUCUCGAUAAUUUUCCUCUUGGGUUUGGCAGUGCUGUAGCCUUGCAGGCCCUUUAGGAGGGAGCGCUCCCAUCCGUCCUUCCCUUUGCUUUGUGUGACCACAUGCUUUCUGUACCAUUCACUUACUUGGGAAAGAAGUGGACUUAUCUCCUAAUUGUUUUAGAAUUUUGCUUGUCUAUUUAGCUUUCCUUUUUGGAUCUCAUGAUUUAUGGAACAAUAAAUGUCAUUUAAUGCUGUGUAUUAUUUUGAAUUCAUUAUCAGGUUUUAGAAGUGGGGUGAAAGUACUUACAGGCUCCUCAGACUUGAACUUGUGCUGAGCAGCACAAAGUGCUAGGCCGUCUCAGUGAAACUAUACCUGGCCCAUGGCACCAGCAGUCUGCUACUUUGGUUAUAGGAUGUACAGUUCAGUGUAAUAAAUGUUUUCUGAUUGUUUUGUAAACGUGUCACUCAUUUCAAAUCUAAGCUGCACUGUUGUCAUCUGAAGUCACAUGGACUCAAGGGUUGGCCUCGAUGUGCAUGGUGUAAGAUGUUCAUCCCAAUUUCCACAGAGGUGAUGCAACUCAAGACAAGUAGUUACAGUAAGUGCCUGCUGCAUACUUAGAAGAGACAGAUCAGGCUCGAAGUCAUGGUCACUGAGCAUCAAGUCCACCAUCUGCAAUGAGCCACAUCAUUCUAGCUCAGAAAAAAUUCCAUAGUUGUCUCGGGUAUUUCAUAGAAGUGAGUCUCACGAGUCACUGGAGCAGGUCUAGUGCUUACUUAGCAGCUCCUCCAGCAGCCAUGCCCCACCCCCCACCCCCCACACAGCGCCACAGUUAAGUAGCUGUUGUGGUAGUCGUACCCUUCGUAUCACAGUACUCCUUACAAGGAGCCGUUCGCCUGAUGAGUCUCUGGAAUGUGUGUGUAUCUGCUUUCCCUCCCAGAGUGCAUCGGAGACACUGCAUCUAUGCAGAUGCUUCAGUGCUGUCCACCGAGGCAGAAAAAGCUCUUUCUUGCAGUUGUGGUUGGGGUGGUUGCUGGAAGGUUCAGCUACCAUUAUUAAUAUUGAAGGUGGGAGGUCUCAGUGGCACAGAGCAGCAGCACCGUAAUAGUAAAAGACAGCAUCCUGGGACAGGGACAGGAGUGCCUGCAUUUGCAAAAAUCUGACUCCAGUGAGCAAGGUGAGGUGUUGUGAGUCUGAAGCUGCAAAUACGUCAUUCAUUUGACAAGCUUUAAAACAGUUAUGAUUUCUAAAAAUUCAGAGUAAAUAAAAACCACAUCCAUUCUA
Mus musculus (house mouse) is the source of this 4634-nucleotide RNA transcript. It is a transcript of the gene named upstream binding protein 1, with no coding region annotated. The transcript is spliced from 16 exons. NCBI's taxonomy places the organism in Eukaryota, Metazoa, Chordata, Mammalia, Rodentia, Muridae. The record is from RefSeq and is marked validated.